CCUAAUUUGAGUUAAGCCCAGUUUUGACAGAUUAACAGCGAGGUGAGUAUUUUGACAAUUCGACGAAAAUGUAAACAAAACAUAAUUCAUUCCCAGUAAUGCAAAUGCAAAUGAAGAUAAAGAAGAAACCAAGAAGAAUGUUGCAACAGGAAAAGUGUAAUCUCCCGAGAAGGAAGCCGACUUAUUUAUUCUUGAGCAAAGAGGUACCAAAUCUAGUUAAAAUUACACUUGUCGACAAAAUUAUGUUCCUGGAAAUCAAAUCGCUCUAUUCCGAUGGCAUUUUAUGUUCUUAUUUUUAACCCGACUCGACUGUAGGAAUGAGAAGGGUAGAUAUUACGAAUUUGUAGUCUUAAGAUUAUAAAAUCAAGUUCUUGUAAUAUAUUGAAAAAAAUAUAAAAAUAAUGUUGAA
Long non-coding RNA from Eupeodes corollae, 409 nucleotides. RefSeq lists it as uncharacterized. The transcript has 3 exons. NCBI's taxonomy places the organism in Eukaryota, Metazoa, Arthropoda, Insecta, Diptera, Syrphidae. The record is from RefSeq and is a predicted model, not a curated record.